AGAAAGAUGGCUCGUUGCAAUUGUGUAUUGAUUAUAGAUAGUUGAACAUGGUAACAAUUAAAAAUAAAUAUCCAUUACCUCGUAUCGAUGAUUUGUUUGAUCAACUGAAAGGUGCUGUAGUGUUCUCAAAGAUAGACCUUAUAUAUGGGUAUUAUCAAUUGAAGGUUAAAGAGUGUGAUGUACCAAAGACUACUUUUCGAACUCGGUAUGGUCACUACAAAUUUUUGGUAAUGCCUUUUGGUUUAACAAAUGCCCCUGUUGCAUUUAUGGAUUUAAUGAAUCAGAUUUUUUAGCCUUAUUUGGAUAGAUUUAUGGUGGUAUUUAUUGAUGACAUAUUGGUCUAUUCAAAGACAUAAUCUGAACAUGCAUAGCACUUGAGAAUUGUAUUACAGACUUUGAGAGAAAAGCAGUUAUAUGCAAAAUUUAGUAAAUGUGAGUUUUGAAUUCAUGAGGUUGGAUUUCUGGGUCAUAUUGUAUCAGCUGAAGGAAUUCGUUUGGAUCCAAGUAAAGUUUUAGCAGUGGUGAAUUGGAAAACACCGAAGAAUGUAACUGAAGUGCGAAGUUUUUUGGGAUUAGUAGGAUACUAUCACCAUUUUGUAAAGAAUUUUUCCAUGAUUGCUUCACCAAUGACUUGUUUAUUACAGAAGAAUGCUGAGUUUGUAUGGUCUGAUUAAUGUCAGUAGAGCUUUGAUAAGUUAAAGAAAAUGUUAACAAAAGCUCCAAUCUUGACUCAACCAGAAUUAGGUACACCGUAUGUUGUGUAUAGUGAUACAUCUUUAAAUGGUUUGGGUUGUGUGUUAAUACAGCCGGGAAAGGUGGUGGCUUAUGCUUCGCGACAGUUAAAACCACAUGAAAAGAAUUACCCUACACAUGAUCUUGAGUUAGCUGCAAUUGUUUUUGCUUUAAAAAUUUGGAGACAUUAUUUAUAUAGUGAGAAGUGUUAUAUUUAUACGGAUCACAAAAGUUUGAAAUACUUAAUAACUCAGAAGGAACAGAACUUAAGACAGAGACGGUGGCUAGAGUUGCUGAAAGACUAUGAUUUGGUUAUUGACUAUCAUCCAGGGAAAGCUAAUGUAGUUACUGAUGCACUUAGUCGAAAGUCAUCCUUGUUUGCACUUCGGGCAAUGAAUGCUCAUUUGGCUCUUAAUGAAGAAGGUGCUGUAUUAGUAGAAUUGAAAGUAAAACCAAUGUUCCUUCAACAAAUUCAGAAGCUGCAGAAUGAAGAUCUGAAAUUGGUGCUGAAACUGAAGAUGGUUCGGGAUAAUUUAGAUUUAGAGUUCAAUAUUGAUGAUGAAGGUAUGCUGCGUUAUCAUAAUAGGAUUUGUGUUCCAAAUAAUUCUGAUUUGAAGAAUGAUAUUCUUUCUGAAGUACAUAAUCGUAUGUAUUCUAUUCAUCCGGGCAGUGCAAAAAUGUAUGGUGAUCUGAAAAAGACAUAUUGGUGGCCUGGUAUGAAAAGAGAAAUUUCAGAAUUUAUUGCAAAAUGUUUGAUUUGCCAGCAAGUUAAAGCAGAGCAUCAAGUGCCAACGGGUUUAUUACAACCCAUUAUGAUUCCUGAAUGGAAGUGGGAGCAUGUUACAAUGGAUUUUGUGUCACGAUUGCCUAUGACUCCAAGAAAGAAAGAUUCGAUAUGGGUGAUUGUUGAUAGAUUGACAAAGUCAGCACACUUUUUUCCAGUCAGAACAGAUUUUCACUUAAGAAGUUAGCAGAAUUGUAUGUCUCAGAGAUUGUGAGACUACAUGGAGUUCCAGUAUCUAUCAUUUCAGACUGGGAUCUGAGGUUUACUUUAAGAUUUUGGAAUAAAUUGUAAGAAGCUUUAGGUACCAGAUUGAAUUUUAGUACAACAUUUCAUCAUCAAACAGAUGGACAAUCAGAGCGAGUGAUUCAAAAUUUAGAAGAUAUAUUAAGAUGUUGUAUACUCGAGUUUGCUGACAGUUAGAAAAGGUAUUUACCUUUGACUGAGUUUGUUUACAACAAUAGCUAUCAGUCUAGUAUAAAAAAGGUACCAUUUGAGGCUCUUUAUGGUAGGAAAUGCAAGACUCCAUUGUGUUGUUCUGCAUUGAGUGAAUAAAAAAUAGUUGGGAUUGAUUUGAUUCGGGAAACCAAAGAGAAAGUCUAGAUUAUUCGAGAUAGUCUAAAAGCUGCUUCACUAUCAGAAGUCAUAUACGGAUUUUAAAUGAAUAGACAUAGAAUAUGCAGUGGGUGAUCGAAUAUUUUUAAAAGUUUCACCGUGGAAGAAGAUGUUACGGUUUGGUAGAAAAGGAAAAUUAAUUUCGAGAUUCAUAAGGCCAUAUGAAAUUGUUGAAAGGGUUGGUACUGUAGCUUAUCGGUUGGCUUUACCUCUGGAACUUGAGAAGAUUCACAAUGUGUUUCAUGUGUCUAUGCUAAGACGUUAUAGGUCAGAUCCUUCACACGUAAUUUCUCAUACUAAAAUUGAGCUUCAACCAGAUAUGACUUAUUCAGAACCAGUGAAGAUUUUGGCUCGUGAAGUUAAAGAAUUGUGGAACAAAAGAAUACCAUUGGUUAAAAUUUUAUGGCAUCGACAUGGUAUGGAGGAGGCAACUUGGGAAACAGAGGAGUCAAUGAGAUCACAGUAUCCAAAUCUAUUUUCAUGUAACAAAUUUUGAGGACGAAAUUUUUAAAGGAGGGGAGAGUUGUAACGGCCUAAUUUUUAGUGGUGUCAGAAAUGGUGAUUUGAGAUCACUAAAUCCGACAAGUAAGAUUGAUCAAGAUAGUAAUUUAAUAUUUAUGAGUCAAGUAAGAAUUUAGAAGAAUUUGUGAAUUGGUGAAUUUGGUGAAUUAAAAGAAUUUAUUAGGUCCAACGGUAAAAAAACGAGGUAUCGAGACCUCAAAUUUGAAAAUCAAGCCAUAAAUAUUUUUAUAAAUAUUUACAAAGUGUCAUUUAGUUAGUAUUAAAGUUUGGUUGAGAAAUUUUAACGUUUGCGUAGUCAAUUAAAUAAAAAGGACUAAAUUGUAACAAAUGCAAAAUUUGCUAGAAUGAUUAAAUAGCUCAAGUGUUAAAAGAAAUAGGAUUUAAAGGGAAGUUAAUCCUGAAAAUAAAUAGGCUGGACGGCAAGGGCAAGAAAAUCAGCAGAAAGAUAAGGAAAAUAAGGGCAAAAUUGGAAAUUUUACAAAUUUAACAUAUAAAAUAAGGACAAAUUUGAAAAAUCUAGAGAUCUCUUCAUAUUUUUUCAGCCAAAACGCCAUAGGAGGUCUGGAGAAAGCUUAUUUUUCAUAUUUUUACGUCAUGUGAGUUUAAUUCUUUCUUUUUCUUGAUAAUUUUUAUGUUUUUAUGACUUUUACAAUUAGGUCCACUUAUAGAAUUCAUUAGUUUUUGUUUUGGUGGGUGAAAUUGGAAGUUACCCUGGCUGAUUAAGGGAAUUUUAUGAUGAAUUAUUAUGAAAUUUAAGUUCUAAUUUCAUAUUAAGGUGGUUUUAUUAAGUGAUUUUGAUAGAAAAUGGUAUUUAAGACCUAAUUGUGAAAAAGUUGUGAAUUAGAGGUUGGUGUUGAAAUCCAGAAUAUCAAAGGUUGUGAAAUAGUUUAUAAUGAUAAAAUAAAGUGUUAAUUGAGAAAAAUAGUUCAAUUGAUGGGUGAAUUAAGCAUGGACUAAAUUGUAAAAACUAUAAAUUUUAGGGUAAAAGUGCAAUUUUGAAAAUUGAAGAGCAUAAAUUGUGAAGUGAAAUAGAAAGGAAAUAAAUGCUAAUGAGUGAAAAUAUUUUACAUUAUAGAUCAAAAAUCCAAAGAAGAACGAGGUAAAGAAAAAGUUGCGGAAUAGUCCUAAAUUUCAAUAUCUUCUACAAAUCAGCUGGGUAAGUUUAUAUGGAUAAAUUUACAUAUUUAUUUGUGAAUUACUGAAUGAUAUAAUGUGUUAUUAAAUAUGAAUUUGCUGUGGGAUUGUGAAAAUUAUGUUAAAAUGAAAGAAUAAAGGUGGAAAUUCAAAUUAGGAAAAACGCAAGAUUAAGUGCGUUCGUAUCGUGACAUGUGAUGAAUUGACGGAUAAGACCAUGGUUGAUCCAUGGCGGAGUUGUGAAACGUAUGUAUGGUAUCAUCCAUACUGAGUUGUGAAACGUAGGUAUGGUAUUAACCAUACUGAGUUGUGAAAUGUAGGUAUGGUAUUAUCCAUACUGAGUUAAGAAACGUAAGUAUGGCAUUUUCCAUACCUAGUUGUAAAAUGUAGGUAUGGUAUUUUAAUGAGGAAAACCAUACUGAGUUGUGAAUCGUGGCACUGAGGAACGACGUACUCAAUUUUGUAAGCCGUUUCCUAAUUUGAUAAUAAGUAAUACAAGAAGAGUGAACCAAAUGAAAGAGAUUGUGUAGUUGUAAAUGUUGAGCUUAACUAUAUGAAGUAUUAGAACAGUGGUUGUGAAUGGCGGGGAACUUUGGUAAAUGUUUUAUUAUUGUUUGGAAAUAUUAUGUUUGGUAAGCAUUACUUUUAAACCUAUGAACUUACUAAGCUUCAAUAAGCUUACUUGUGUGUGUUUCAUAUUUUUAUGUAGAUUAAAUUGAAGUGAAGUUGGUAGAUCGGAUCAACACAACAAAGCACACUAUCUAGAUCAAUUCCAGUAGCUUUUGUUUUAUGUUCAAAGAUUUAUAUGGCAUGUAUAGAGUUUAAAUGAAAUGAAGUAAAGAUGUUAUAAACCAGUUAACAAUAUUUUGUACUAAAACAAUUUUUGGUUAGUAGCAGUAGUUCGACUUUGAAAAUUCACCAUAAAUUAUAGAAAAUGAAUUAGAGGUUGAAUAAGAUAUGAAAUUAAAUCUUAUUGAAUCUAGUUUCACAUAGAAGAAACAUUAUAAGAAAAAGACUUUCAUAUUAGAAGAUACUUGAAUUUUUUUGUGACAAGGUUAGAGUGAUUUCGAGCUCCCCUAUUCUGACUUUGGAAAAUCAUUAAAAAUUGUAAAAGAAUAAUUAUGGGUUAUAAUUCAUAUGAUUAAAAUCCUUAAUGAGUUUAUUUUUAAAAGAAAUAAAUAGGAACAUCAUAUGAAUCCUGUAUGAGGAGAUAAUUAAUUUUUAGUGAAGUGGGGUCAGAACUAUCAGACUGUGAAAUAGGGGAGACUUUAAAUAAUAAACUGUACUUAUUGGCUAGACCAAAAAAAUUCUGAAAAUUUUAUGGUAGGAAGAUAUGUGAGUCUAGUUUCAGGAAAAAUUAGUGAAUCUUAAUUUGGAGUUCCCUAGCUCAGGAUAUUAAUAAUUUAGUGACUAUGACUCAAGUGGAAAACUUUGAUGUGAAUAUAAGUAAAUAAUGGAAUUUUUGUGUAAUUAUUUCGUAAACUUCGGUAACAUCUUGUAACCCUAUUCCGGUGAUGGAUGUGGGUUAGGGAUGUUACACUAAGUCAUUCCACUAAAGUAUCAUGACUGAGCUCUCCCUUAUUAUAUACCAUUACGAAAGUUACUUAAUAAGUGCUCGUCCAAUGUAACGCCCCUCACCCAGUCUGGAUGUCGGACCCAAGUUACUGGAUGUUACAGCAAACAUCGGAAUAUUCACACAUAAAUUUUAACAUUGAAUUCAAUUAAAAUCAUCAAAUUAUUCCAAAUUUAUACAUAAUAGAAGUUGUUAGUAAAACAAGGGCUAAAUCGAGCAUACAAACAUAGUUUAAUUGAUUCGGGCAUGAUUGAGGACUUAUCUAAAAAAUUUUAAAACUUUGGAACUAGGUAUCGGUACCAAAGGAAUAAAUAUUGAUACUUUUAUGGUAGAUAUUUUUACUAUAAUCGGCAUCAAUAUGAUUUACUCAUUCUUUCAUUUUCAAAACACUAUUUAUUUGGUCAAGUAUUGAUACAUUGAUCCCUACUAUCGAUACUUCUACCCAAAUGGAAAAAAACAUAAGUUUUAUGUACCAAUCAUGCUCAAAACUAUAUCCCAAAUUUAAGGAUGCUUAUAAGCUUAUCAUAAGACCUAUAAGUAACCAAUUUCAACAUGCUAUAUACCACAUUCAUUCAUUUUCAAACCACAAAUUCAACCAUUUCAUGUUAGCAUUCAACUUAACACCUAAUCAUGUACAAUCACAACUAUAGUUCUUUUAGUUCACCAUCUCCUUUCAUCACAAUUUCAUGCCGUUAAUACUCAAAUCUCCAUUGAAAUAUCAUUCAAAUUAUCUCAUUUGACAUUCAAACAUGACACCAUGCUACAUGCAUUUCAUAACAAACUUUAUAUGCACUUAAGUAUCAUUCAUCUCUCAAACAACUUAACCAUUAUGCAUCAUUAUUCACUAUGUUAAAAUUAUCAAAAAAUGAUUGCUCACCAUGACAAUCUCAUCACAAUGGCUCAAUCAUUCACAUUCAAACAUAUUCAUUCAUACCAAUACUAAAUACAUAUCAUAUACACAUUCAUGAUAAGCAUUUAUAUAUAUAUGGAUCAUUUCACUAUCAUCCAAAAAUAAACUCUUAUUCACAUUAAAACCUAGACGCAUUAUAAGCUCCAUAUACAUGUCAAAACGUCAUAAAUCACCAUUUCAAUAAUCUAAUCCAACAUUUCCACAAUUUGGCAUUUUCCAAUAAGCUAACCAAUAUGCUUCAAUAGGCACUAGAAUAUACCAAAGUCACUUAUUCAAGCUUAGUCUAUACUUUCAUACUUUCAUACUAUCAAACCAUUCCACAUCAACAUAUACCAUAAUUCAAACAUUAUCCAAGUAUAAACCAAACUAGGCAACCAAGAUAAACAUAUAUAGUAACACCUAUAUACAUGCCACAAAACCAAGCUUUAAACGAUAGAAAGACUAUCAAAUUAAUACCAGGAUAGUGCAAACUUCUUGACGAUCUGUUUGACAUGUUCCGCAAGUUGGCAAUUUAUAGGGAAAAGGAAACAGGGGGUAAGUAUUACAAAUGCUUAGUAAGUUCAUAAUUAUUAAAACAACAACUUACCUCAUUUUAUGAAUUUAUAUAAUUUAUUCAACUUGACAAUUUUUUCCUAAACCCGACAACCCUAUAUCAACAAGGUGAGUUUAUCCCAUAACCAAUUCAUAUAAUAAUAUGAACAUUUAGCAUUUCAAUUAAUUUUUAUACCAAUCGCAUGGAAUCAAUAACUUAAUACCAUUCAUAACAUUCCAAUCAACAUUUCAAUUUACAAAUACAACUAAAAGUCUCAAUGGUAUAUCAACGUAUACAAGCUUCAAUUGAUCAAUCUAAAGAUUUUAUCGUAUCAUUUAAUUUUGUUGUCAACAAUACAUCCAACUUCAUUAUAAUGGAAACCAUUAUUCCGUUUUAUUGUUUAAAUUUUGCAUCAAAUUCAUUGAUUUAUCACAUUUCCAUAUUGGCCGUUUGGCUCGUAUAUCCGAUAUGUAUGAGCAUUCAAUGCUAUUGAUAUUCAUAUAUAUCACUAAUCAAAUUUGUAACAGCAUAUCACAAUUAUCAAUCAAAUUUUUAUUUCACAAAUCAAAUAUCAUAUUUCUAUACCUUUAUUAACCUGACUUGGACUCGAAUGGAUACACGGAUCCAACCAAUUACACCAAUUUGGCACCUAAUGCCUAUCAGAUAAAUUCAAAAAUAAUAAGUUGCGCCUUGCAUUGAUCAGUAAAAUCGGGAAAUAGAUGUGCCCAACACUGGUUGGUAAAACCGAAACAUGUGGUGCCCAAUAUUCCCUAACACAUAGUCGUAUAACCCUAAAUUCUUCCUAUCCUAUGGCAUGGCAACUAUAUCCGACUCUACCUGAACAAUUAAUAGAGUACAAUUUCUCAAUUUCAUUUAGAAGCCAAUUUCUCAAUUCCAUAUAAUAAUUUCAUCAAACAAUCAUCAAUUCACACAAGUGACAAUAUAGUUCAUCUUUAUUCCAAGUCAAUUUUAUAAUCCCAGCCUUACUAUUUUAAAUUUAAUUCAAUUUAAUCCUCUAUCUCGAUAAUUAAUCAAUUUCAUACUACUAGGAUUCAAAUCAUUAUAAACAACUAUAAAUUCAUUUUAUAUCUCAGAAUUCAAUUCAACAUAUUAAAUUUUUAUCCUUCAAAUUAUCAUUCCUUUAUAAAUCAAUCCAUAACUCACCUUUUGUACCAAAUUGUGAACCAUUCAAUUUUAACGUCAAACAAACAAAAAUUCAGAAUCAAAUGUAAAAUAAUUUAAACACAAUCAUACGAUGUGAACUUACUUGGUUAAAUUAUCAAACAAGAACUUUCUAAGGACUAAUCUACAAUUUUUGCCAUUUCCCCGAUUAUCUUCAAUUUGUCCAAUUUUCGGCCUAUUCAAUAAUAUUCAAUUCAAUUCUAUUAUAAGUAUAUAUUAGUUUAAUUUUAUUAUUCGAGUGGCCCCUAAAAUUUUGUAUUUUAUUCAAUUUAGUCCCUAAAAUCGAACUUAUUAUAACUUCCGAAUUUGAACUCAAAUUUUAAAUCCACUCCAAUUAUGUCCAUAUAUAGCCUCCUAUUAUCAUAAUUUACAAAAAUUUUAUACCAAUUUCAAGAUAUUCACAAUUUAAUCCCUAAACUAAAAAAUAACAAAAUUUGCUUAACAAAUUAAUCCUAUUUCAUUUCUAAGCUUCAAAAUCUACCAUAAACAUUCAAAAAAUUCAAUUAAAAUCUAUGAAAAUUUAUAAAUAUUUAACAAUUUUGAACAAGAAAAUAUGAGUUAGCUGGACCUAAUUGCAACAAUCUCAAAAAUAUAAAAAUUACGAAAAAUAAACCUCAAUUAAAACUCCAUGCAAUCAAAACAAUUUGGCUGAACCUUGAAGCUCCUUCAAUGGUAAUUUUUGGUUUUUAAUAUUCGGUGGUGGUGAGCAAAAAUGAUAAUAGUUGCUUUUUUUAUGUUUUUAACAUUUAUUAUAUUAUUUUAACUUAAUUUAAUUAUAUUUUCAAUUAUAAAAUUUCAAAUAAAUAAUAAUCGACCACUAACUAUAAAUAGGGUAAUUUGAAGCUUAAAACCCUUAACAUUAAUUAAUUUAGCCUUUUAACUAAUAAAAACCAAUAUCGAUUAACUUUUACUAUUUUUACGAUUUAGUCAUUUUUCCUUAAUUAACCAUCCAAUCACUAAAAUUUUUGGACCAAACUUCAAUUCACCUAUACAACAGCUCUGUAUAUUUAAUAAAAAUAUUCACAAGCUCGAUUUACAGAAAUAAAGUUCCAAAUUCUCAUUUUCUAAAACCAUUUAACUUUUGGUACGCACCACUUGUAUCUUGACUAACUGACCAAAUUACUAAAAUCUAUUAAAUCACGGUUCACUAUUAUACUAUAUUUAACUCAUAAAUAUUAAUUAAAUAUAUCUACGGACUCACUUAUUUAAAUUUGUGGUCCUGAAACUACUAUUUUCGACACCACUGAAAAACGGGUUGUUACAUCUAAUUUUUUUUUCAUAAGUGUGUUACCCUUAUAGGAUAUCCUUAACUUUUUUGGCAUAAAUCUAUUCUCUUAAUAUGAUUUUAUUUUAUCUCAUGGUAACCAUUACAUAUUCCUUCAUGAAAAGUUAAUUACUGUCAAAUAGUAAUUAAAUCAUUUAUCAUAAAAACAAAUUACCCAUGACCAUGUUUACUUUUCAUCUAUUAUGUAAUAUUGAUGAGAGGAUAUUAUUUACCCUUUAAUUGGGCUAUGAAUUCCACUAUUGUGAAAUGAUGCUACAUACUAUAGAAGUUGUACACCCAAUGCACCAACUUUCAAUUCCUUAUCUAUUUGAACUUAGGCUUUUAUUUACAUUAAAGUAUAUGAGUCAUGCAUACAUAAUCUAUCACCCCCCUAGGAUUAAGCUCUGCUACACUAUGAACAUUACAAAUGAAUAAAUUCAUAAAUAGAUCUAGGAUCUUUUUUAUUUAAGUCCUGUCCAAUGUGCUAUCAUUCUAGUUACUCACAUCUAUCUUUUUAGAGUCAUCCAAUCCAAUACCCAGACAAUUUAUCUUCCUAAUUGGACUAGAUAAACAAUAUAUUAGUCUUGCAAUUGGUUUGCUCAAUUCUAAUUAGACUAAGGACACAUUUAGAUAAUCUACUAGUAUAAGUUGUUUUUCUAUAUUACGAUCCAACCAUGUAAUACUAUUUAGUUUUGGUUAAAUGUUAAAUAGUCAGUGAGCCAAUAUUUCUUUCAUUUUACUUUGCAUGCAAAAAACAUUUAGGAUAAUAUACAAAGGAUAUUUGAUGUCCACUAAACUAGCUAAUAAAUUGACUUAGGCAAAUGCACCUAUCAAUUAAUAAUAUAAUUAUUACGAGCACAUAAAUGUUCCUUCGAAGACUACAAUUACUAGUAAUUAUUUUCUUCUAAUAAUUCAAAAGAUUGAUAAAGAAUAAAAUUAACUAACUAAAUUAACUAACGAAUGCGUGAAAGAAAUAAAACACAAAAACAAUCAAAUAUCAACCAAGUGACAAAACAAUACCUAGGUAAAGAAUUCACCUAGAUUUCAUCUAUGGUUCUCAAUCUAAUUUAUGCAAUUUCUUUCCUUAGUUCUUUGACUUGUAGAAAUCCCUAAUUUAUGCUAAUAUCUCUUUUUAGCAUAAGAGAAAUUAACUCCAGAUUGAUUAAUUGAAAUUUCUUUCUAAUUAAAACCCUAUUAUUGCAUUAAUUCAUUCUAUUGAUCCCCCUAUUAGAUUUGACUCUAAUUUAAUUGAUUUAUGUCAUUCUAUUUCUAAGAUUGCAUGCACUCCAUUCAAUUAUGCAAAAUCUAUUCAUAAGAAGGGUUUAUUCAACCUCAAACUCAGGCACAUCAAACAUGGAUUAAUACUUUAGAAAUAUUAACCUAAGAAAACUUAAGAAUUCAUAAUUGAAAACAGAGAAACUAAGGUUUUAUUGCAUAAAAAUAAAAUUCAAACAAUAUAAUCCAUCCUAGGGUUCAUCUCCCUAGGUAUUUAGAAAAUUAGUUCAUAAUUCCGAGAAGAAACACCAAAAAUACAAUAUAAUCACUAAAAUUAAAAAAAAACUAUGGUAACUCCAUUCGAAAUCAACUUGGACUUUGAAUCUUGAUGGAGAGCUAUUUGGAAAAUCCACUUCAAUGGUGUUCUUUGGAUAAUUUUUGUGCUAUUGUAACAGUUCGGUUUAGACCCUAGUUGAAAUAGUGGUUUCGGGACCACAAAUCUAAGUCAAAAAAAUAUUUUUAUAUUAUUUUUCGUGCUUAAAAUAUGUGAAUUAGAAUGUGUGAAAAUUUUGCAUGAAAAAUUAAUCGUUUGUGUGCUUAAUUUGAUAAAAAGGACUUAAUCGUGUAAAAUGUAAAAGUUGCCUGCUGAUUGUUAAAGUGGCUAUUUGCUAUGUCUUUUUAAAUGAGAGGUCCUCAUGUUAAUAUUUGACCAUUGAAAGUUUGAAUGGACAUAUAUGACAAAGGUUAGUGGAAUUUAAAUGUGUAUAAUAAGGCUAAAUAAGUAAACUUUGCCAUUAAUGUUAAUUUAAUUAAAACAAAAGCAUGAAAUUAAGUUAUUAUCAUCAUCUUAGCAAAAUUCAUCAAAGAAAAGAAUGAAUAAGAGCUCUUGGGGUUUUAGCACUUUGAUUGGUGAUUGAGGUAUGAUUUUUGGUCAGUUUUUGAUAAUUUUUACGUUUUUGUGAUCGUUGCUUAGUGUUCUAUCGAGCCCAUGCAAAAAUUUCUGAUUUUUUUGAUGAUUUUGAAAUAUGACAUUGAUGAAAUUAUAAGCUUUGUGAAGUUAGUUAUUGGUAAAUGAAAGAUAUGUUUUGGGCUAACAUGUUUAGUCUUUGAAUUUUUGAUGAAAUUGAGUAAUUUGGGCUAAAUUGUAAAAAUGAGAUUUUGAGGGACUAAAAUGUGAAGGCUUAUAUGAAUACUAUGAAAAUUCGGCUAGGCAUGUGUGCAAAGAAAUUUUGUGUGUUUUGUGAUUUUGCGAAUUAAGGACUAAAUUGUCAAGAUAUGAAAAUGUGAGGCUAAGUUGUAAAAUGCCCUAAAUAUGUAUUUUUGGAAUGAUUUGAAUGAAUGUGAGUUUGAAUAAUUUAAAUUUGAAUUUAUAUAGAUCAAGAACUAAAGAAAACAGAAUUAGAUCGGGGAAAGUCGAAAGUCAUCAAGUAGCCGAUUCUGUCUAUCCGAAUCCUUACGAGGUAAGUCUAUAUACAAAUAAAUGUGUUAUGAAUUGAAUUUCUAUUGAUUAUAUGCUAUUGGGCUAUGAUGAAUGAAUAUAUGAGUUGAGAAAAAUGAGACAUCCGAGAAAUCAUCGACAAAGUUCUGACUUCCGAAAAGCCCCGUACGAACCUUAGAAAUAGUUAGGAUACAUAUGUCAUGACAUAGGAUUUCGAGAUGUUUUUUCAUGUAAGACCAUGUCUGGGACGUUGACAUCGACUUAUGAUUUACGUGUAAGACCACGUUUGGGACGUUAGCAUCGUAUUUGAUUUCGUGUAAGACCCUGUCUGGCACAGUGGCAUUGAUAUUUGAUUACAUGUAAGACCACGUCUGGGAUGUUGGCACUGUACGAGCUUUCUGAGCUAUCCGCAUAUCCUUAUGAUUUCGAACGGUUCAACGGGCAUUCCGAGAAAAUGAAUUAUUAUGUGAACAUGUAUUUGAUUCAGGUAUGUUUGAAAUGUGUAUCAUAUUUGAUGUUGAAAGGUAAGUAUAUGUACUUUAGUGAACAAAUGUUGAUAUGUGAUAAAAUCAUGAGAAAAUAUGUUAUAUGUGAUAAAGAAUUUGAAAUAUGUGAAAUUUAUAUGAACAUUGAGGUUUGAGAUAGUAUUUGGCCAUGGAGUAUAUGCAAUUUUAUGACGCUUUCAUGCUUUGAAUGUUAAGUUUAUUUGUAUAUGACUUACUAAGCUUUUGAAAGCUUACUUUGUGUGUGUUUGCAUUGUUUUCUAGAUAACGGAGCUACUGGGAGCUCGAGGACCAUCGAGGAUUUUCACCACACUAUCGAGUCUAUUUUUGGCACCUUUUGAAAGUGUAAAUAUUGGAAUACGGCAUGUAUAGGAUAGAAGUAAUUUGAUUAUGUUUUGUGAUGUUUAUAUCUAGCCAUGUGAUUUGGCUUGAUUAUAGUUAUGUAUAUGAAUGAGUUCUUGGUAUGAAAUAUGUGAUGCAAUAUGAUCAAUAUGAUGUGUUUUGAAUGACCAAAUGAAAUGGUCAAUUUUGGUAAGUUUUGGUAUGUGCAUAUUUGAGAAAUUGGUAAGUUUAUAACAUGUGAUUGAAUGAAGUAAAAUGAGGUUAUGAAAUAAAUGUUUUGAUAUGAUUUUGUCUUAUGAUUUGGCAUAAUUUGGUAUGGCUAUUAAGCAUGAAAUUGGUUGAUAAUGUAAUGGUAUGAAUGGUGUAUGAUUUGGUUGAGAAUUUGGUUUAAAAUGUUGCUGUUUUGAUGCUUGUAGGGAGGACCCUUAAUGGGUGGCAUAUUGGCCUUGUAAAUGGCCUAUUUUUGCCCACACGGGCAGAGACACGGGCUUGUGUCUCAGCCGUAUUACUCAAGGGCCAUUUCAAAAUGAGCCUGAGCAGACCACACGGUCGCACACACGGGCGUGUACCGUGUGGCCAAGUCAGUUUUGAAAAGGGCUAGACACACAGGCGUGUGACUGGUCAUGUGACCCAACUCAGUAGCCUUCUUAAUUUUCACAUGGCCUGGCACACGGGUGUGUCUUGUAGCCAUGUAGACAAGUCAAUAUGUAUGCCCUGUUUUGACACGGCCUAGACACACGAGUGUGUCUAAAGUCGUAUGAGGCACACGGCUUGUUCACACGGGUGUGUGACCUAUACAACUUUGAAAAAUGUUUAAGUUAUCAGAAAAAAUUGUAUGAGCUCGGUUUAGUCCCGACCUCUUUUUAAUGCAUGUUUUAGGUCUUGAUGACCUAUAUAAAGGACUCUAUUGUGAUGUAUAACUAUGAAUUUGAAUGAAGUUUAUGAAUUGUUCGUAAAAAUUUUCGAUUAGUCUGGUAACGCCUUUAGCCCUAGUCCAGUGGCAGAUACGGGUUAGGGGUGUUACAUUUGGUUGGUAUCAAAGCUACGGUUUAGUCGACUCUUGGACUAAUGUAGCGUAUGUGAGUCUAGCUAUACAUGCCAUAUUUGUGAACUACGAUAGUGUGAUGAAUCCUGAUAGUGAAAAUAUUUUUUUAUAUAGUAAAUGGAUUUCAAACGAGCCGUAGCUGAUGAUGUCGAGAGCAAUGCGCCUACUCCCAUGCAAGGGACAAUGCCAUCCGAUUCUAGACCGGCUACGAGUAGCCAUGAUGGAGAGGCUAGACAAGCCUUCUAUCAAAUGAUGAAUAAUCGGUUCACCCAAUGCAUUAAAACUAAUCCGGUUGUUCAACAAUCCCUAACCCCUACUAAUCCUCCGUAAGUUUCUGCUAUGUCACAAGCUAAUUUGAAUCAGUUGAUUAAGCCUCCGGUUGAUAAGAUUAAAAAAUAUGGAGCCGAAGAAUUCGUGCUACUACGAAUGAUGAUGUUGAAAGAGCCUAGUUCUGUUUAGAGAAUACGAUACGAGUAUUUGUUGAAUUGUCAUUGAAUCCCGAAGAAUGCAUAAAAUGUACCGUUUUACUUCUGAGAGAUACGACGUAUCACUGGUGGAAGAAUUUGAUAUCAGUGGUUCUGAGAGAGCCUAUCACUUGGGAUUUCUUUCAAGCUGAAUUUCGCAAGAAAUACAUCAGUUAGAGAUUUAUCGACCAGAAACAUAAAGAGUUUCUUGAGCUUAAACAAGGCCAUAUGUCUGUUAUAGAAUACGUGAGAGAAUUUGUAAGAUUGAGUCAAUAUGCUAGAGAAUGUGUUUCGACUAAAGCUAUAAUGUGCAAGAGAUUCGAGGAUGGCUUGAACGAGGAUAUCCAUUUGUUAGUUGGGAUUCUUGAGAUCAAAGAAUUCGUUGUGCUUGCUGAACGAGCAUGUAAAGCUGAAGAACUCGGAAAAGAGAAAAGAAAAGCUGAUUCAGAAGCUAGAGAAGUGCAAAAUAGAUCAUCGUGCAAGCCAUUUCAAUCUAUAGCAAAGAAGUUUCGAGAUGAUUAUAGUCGUUCAAAGGCUAAUGUGGGACAUGCGAGUAGAGAUCGUAUGAGAUCGCAUUUGAGUUUCAGAGCUCCAGCUACAUCUGUUGCCAGUGUUGGAAAUGUUCGAUCUGAUCGCCCUGAAUGCAAACACUGUGGUAAAAGACAACCCAACAAUUGUAAAAUCUAUGAUUGGUCUUGUUUCAAAUUUGGAUCAUUAGACCAUUUUAUCCGUGAUUGCCCCGAAUCUGUCGAGGAAGAAAUUGUACAAAAUCUGAGUCCAAGUGGCAAUGCAUCUCAUGGUAGAGCUCCCAGAAAUACAGGAAAUGUGAGUGGUAGUCAAAGGGGAACUAAAAACACUAUUGUUUAAUCUGAGGUUCGCGCACCUGCAAAAGCCUAUGCCAUUCGAGCUCGUGAGGAAGCUUCAUCUCCAAAUGCUAUAAUGGGUACUUUCACACUUUAUGAUACUUAUGUGAUUGCUUUGAUAGAUCCAGGAUCAACACAUUCGUAUAUAUGUAUAAAUUUAGUGAAUAGUAAGACUUUGUCUGUAGAGUCUACUGAAUUUGUAAUUAAAGUAUCAAACCCCUAGGCAGAUGUGUUUUGGUUGAUAAAGUCUGCAAGAAUUGUCCGUUAAUGUUUUGAGACAUUUAUUUUCUGGCCGAUCUGAUGUUAUUAACUUUUGAUGAGUUUGAUAUAAUUCUGGGUAUGGAUUAGUUAACUUUGCAUGAUGCUGUUGUGAAUGGAAAACAGAAAACUAUUGAUUUGGGAUGCAAGAAUGAUAAAAAGUUCGAAUUGAAUAGAGUGAUUUGAAUGGAUUGCCUGCUGUAAUAUCUUCAAUGAAAGCUUUGAGUAUUGUGAGAAAAGGUUGUGAAGCUUACUUUGCCUAUGUGAUUGAUUCGAAAGUGUCAGAAAAGAGAGUUGAAUCAAUGCCUGUUGUCUGUGAAUUCCCUGAUGUGUUUCUUGAAGAAAUUUCAGGUUUACCUUCGAUACGACAAGUUGAAUUUGGCAUUGAAUUAGUACCAGGAACUACUUCAAUUUUGAUAACUCCGUAUAGAAUGGCUUCGACCGAACUAAAAGAAUUAAAGUCUCAGUUGCAAGAGUUGACCGAUAGAGGAUUUGAGAAUUAAAGAACUAAAAGAAUUAAAGUCUCGCCUUGGGGUGGACCAGUUCUAUUUGUGAAAAAGAAAGACGGUACGAUGAGAAUGUGCAUUGAUUAUCGUCAAAACAAAGUGACUAUCAAGAAUAAAUACCCUCUGCCUAGAAUUGAUGAUUUGUUUGAUCAAUUAAAAGGAGCUACUGUGUUUCCGAAGAUAGAUUUGAGAUCAAGCUAUUAUCAGUUGUGAGUGAAAGACUUAGACGUUCCAAAAACUACUUUUAGAACGAGGUACGACCACUAUGAGUUCUUAGUUAUGCCUUUUGGAUUAACUAAUGCACCUGCUAUCUUUAUGGAUUUGAUGAACAGAAUUUUCAGACCGUAUUUAGAUCGAUUUGUUGUCGUAUUCAUUCAUGACAUAUUGAUUUAUUUGUGUGAUGAAUCCGAGCAUUCCGAGCAUCUGAGAAUAGUGCUACAGACUUUGCAAGAUAAGCAACUAUAUGCAAAGUUUAGAAAAUGUGAAUUCUGGUUACAAGAAGUCGAUUUUCUGGGCAAUAUUGUAUCAGCAUCUGGUAUUCGAGUUGAUCCAAGCAAAGUUUCGGCUAUUAUGGAUUGGAAGCCUCCGAGAAAUGUCUCUGAAGUCUACAGUUUUCUAGGACUUGCUAAUUAUUAUAGAUGGUUCGUAAAAGGCUUUUUGAUAUCGUGAUUCCAUUGACGAAAUUGCUUCAGAAAGAUGUGAAGUUUGAAUGGUCUGAAAAGUGUCAAAAAAGGUUUGAUCAGUUGAAAGCCCUAUUGACUGAAGCUCCAGUGUUAGUACAACCAGAAUCGGGUAAAGAAUUUGUGAUCUACAGUGAUGCUUCGUUGAACAGUCUGGGAUGUGUUUUGAUGUAGGAAGGUAAAGUCAUAGCUUAUGCCUCGAGACAAUUGAAGUUGCAUGAAAAUAACUAUCUGACGCACGAUCUAGAAUUAGCUGCGAUUGUGUUUGCUCUGAAGAAUUGGCGCCAUUAUCUGUUUGGUGAAAAAUGUCACAUAUAUUCUGAUCACAAGAGUUUGAAAUAUCUGAUGACUCAGAAAGAUCUGAAUCUGGGACAAAGAAGGUGGUUAGAAUUGCUAAAAGACUAUGAGCUUGUGAUUGAUUAUCAUCCGAGAAAAGCAAAUGUCGUUGCUGAUGCUUUGAGUCGAAAAUCACUAUUUGCUCUGCGUGUGAUGAAUGCUCAUUUUGUUGUGUCCGAUGAUGGUUCGAUUUUAGCCGAAUUAAAAGCAAGACCAUUAUUCAUUCAAUAGAUUAUUGAUGCUCAGAAGAUUGAUAAUGAGAUUUUAGCAAAAACGAGCUCAGUGUGAUUUGAAUUCUGAUUUAGAAUUUCGAAUUGGUAUUGAUGAUGGUUUGAGAUUUAGAGGUCAGAUUUGUAUUCCAAGAAAUUUAGAGUUAAUUCUAAUGAUUUUGAACGAAGCUUAUAGCAGUCGUUUAUCUGUGCAUCCGGGUAGUAUGAAAAUGUAUAAUGAUUUGAAACAGCAUUACUGGUGGUCUGGAAGGAAGAGAGAUAUCUCUGACUUUGUUUCGAAAUGUUUAAUUUGUAAGCAAGUCAAAGCUGAACAUCAGGUGCCCUCUAGUUUGUUACAAUCGAUUAUGAUUCCUAAGUGGAAAUGGGAUAGAGUGACGAUGGAUUUUGUUUCGAGUUUACCCUUAUCUCCAUGCAAGAAAGAUACUAUCUGGGUUGUAGUUGAUCGAUUAACGAAAUCAGCUCAUUUUAUUCUGGUAUGAUCUGAUUACUCGCUUGAUAAAUUAGCUGAAUUAUACAUUUCUGAAAUUGUGAGAUUGCACGGUGUGCCAUUAUCUAUUGUGUCAGAUAGAGAUCCAAGAUUCACUUCGCGAUUGUAGAAGAAAUUGCAAGAUGCUUUAGGUACGAAAUUGCAUUUCAGUACUGCUUUUCACCCUUAGAUGGAUGGUCAAUCCGAGCGGAUUAUCAAGAUUCUUGAGGAUAUGUUGAGAUGUUGCACUCUUGAGUUUGAUGGUACGUGGAAACAAUAUUUUCCAUUGAUUGAAUUCAUAUACAGUAAUAGUUUUCAAUCAAGUAUUAAAAUGGCACCGUACGAAGCCUUAUAUGGUCACAAAUGCUGUACACCUUUGUAUUGUACUGAGCUUAGUGAGAAUAAGAUUCACGGGGUUGACUUGAUAAAAGAGACUGAAUAGAAAGUAAAAGUGAUUUGAGAUAGUCUGAAAGCAGCUUUCGAUCGUCAGAAAUCAUAUGCAGAUUUGAAACGAAAAGACAUUAAAUUUGAGAUCGGUGACAAAUCAUUUUUGAAAGUUUGACUGUGGAAGAAAGUACUUUGAUUUGGCAGACAAGGCAAAUUGAGUCUGAGGUUCAUUAAGCCGUAUGAGAUUAUCGAGCGUAUCGGAUCGGUUGCAUACAGAUUGUUGUUGCCACAAGAGCUAGAAAAGAUUCACAAUGUAUUUCACGCAUCGAUGCUUCAACUAUAUAGAUUCGAUCCUUUACAUGUGAUUUUUCCGUCUGAGAUAGAAAUUCAGUCUGAUAUGACCUACAAUGAAGAACCGAUCCAUAUUUUAGCUCGUGAGAUUAAAGAACUGCGAAAUGAGAAAAUUCCAUUAGUAAAAGUAAUGUGGCAUCAACACGGUGUUGAAGAGGCUACGUGAAAGCCUGAAGAUGUUAUGAGACAACAAUAUCUGAAUCUGUUCAACGAGGGACGAAAAUCCCUAAGGGGGGAGAACUCUAAUUGUCCGAUUGAGACCCUAGUCGGAAAAGUGGUUUCGGGACCAAAAAUCCAAGUUAGAAAAAUAUUUUUAUAUUAUUUUCCAAGCUUAAAAUAUGUGAAUUAGAAUGUGUGAACAUUUCUUAUGAAAAUUUAAUCGUUUGUAUGCUUAAUUUGAUAAAAGGACAUAAUCGCGUAAAAUGUAAAUGUUCCCUGCUGAUUGUUAAAGUGCCUAUUUGCUAUUUCUUUUUAAAUAAGAGGUCCUUAUGUUGAUAUUUGACCAUUGAAAGUUUGAAUGGACAUAUAUGCCAAAGGUUAGUGGAAUUUAAAUGUGUAUAAUAAGGCUAAAUAAGUAAAUUUUGCCAUUAAUGUUAAUUUAAUUAAAACAAAAGCAUGAAAUUAAGUUAUUAUCAUCAUCUUAGCUAAAUUCAUCAAAGAAAAAGAAUGAAUAAGAGCUCUUAGGGUUUUGGCACUUUGAUUGGCGAUUGAAGUAUGAUUUUUGAUCAGUUUUUGACAAUUUCUACGUUUUUGUGAUCAUUGCUUAGUGUUCUAUCGAGCCCAUGCCAAAAUUUCUGAUUUUGUUGAUGAUUUUGAAAUAUUCCAUUGAUGAAAUUAUAAGCUUUGUGAAGUUAGUUGCUGGUAAAUGAAAGAUAUGUUUUGGGUUAACAUGUUUAGUCUUUGAAUUUUUUAUGAAUUUGAGUAAAUUGGGCUAAAUUAUAAAAAUGAGAUUUUGAGGGACUAAAAUGUGAAAUAAAUGAAACAUAUGGGCUUAUAUGAAUACUAUGAAAAUUUGGCUAGGCAUGUGUGCAAAGGAAUUUUGUGUAUUUUGUGAUUUUGUGAAUUAAGGACUAAAUUGUCAAAAAUGAAAAUGUGAGGGCUAAUUUGUAAAAUACCCUAAAUAUGUAUUUUUGGAUUGGUUUGAAUGAAUGUGAGUUUGAAUAAUUUAAAUUUGAAUUUAUAUAGAUCAAGAACUAAAGAAAACAUAAUUAGAUUGGGUCACCAUUCUCUCUAAUCAGGUAGAACUGUUAAAUAAAAAAAUUGAUGGUUUUCUUAGUUCUUUACAGGUUCACCUAGUAAUGCAGUGCGAAGCAAGUGGAGGUGGAUCAAGCAAUUCAGAAUACCAACAUUAUGGCCACAAUAUGGAUAGCGAGCAGUUAAAUUACAUGGGUAAUAAUCCUCGAUCUCAAAACAAUCCAUGUAGUAACACUUACAAUGCAGGUUGGAGGAACCACCCAAAUUUCUCAUGGGGAGGCCAAGGAAAUCAGAGACCACCUCCAGGCUACCAACAACCACCCUACCAAUAGGAAAAGAAGCCGAACCUUGAAGAGAUGCUCUCAAAGAUUAUAUCGGUGUCAGAAACUCUUUUUCAGAAUACCGAGACAGCACUGAAGAAUCAACAAGUAUCGAUCCAAUGGCUCAAAACUCAGAUUGGAUAGCUUGCCAAGUUGAUUUCUGAACGACCACAAGGUAGCUUGCCAAGCAACAUAGAAUCUAACCCAAGGGAGUAACUCAACACGAUUACUAGUCAAGAUGAAGAAGGGUUAGUCACAUCUGUACCAGAACCAAGGCAAGAAACUGAGACAAGGAAAGGUAAAGGUGAGGUAGACCACAAUGAGCAGAAACUGGUAAGUAUAGAAUACAAACCUCGUGUGCCAUACCCUAAUGCUAUAGGGAAAGAUGGCUCAGAUGAAAAAUUUGGUAAAUUCCUUAAAAUCUUAAAAAAAUUACUUAUUAACUUACCGUUUAUUGAAGCUCUAUCGCAGAUGCCAAACGCAAUGAAAUUUUUAAAGGAGCUUUUAGGAAAUAAGCGGAAGUUGGAUGGGAUUCACAUGUGAAGCUAAACACAGUUUGCUCAACUAUUCUACAGAAUAAACUACCCAAAAAAUCAAAAGAUCCAGGGAGUUUUACAAUUCCUUGCUUAAUUGGUAGUUUAGAUGUUAAUAAUGCAUUAGCUAAUUUAGGGGCUAGUAUUAAUGUUAUGCCUUAAAAGAUGUUUAAACAAUUAGGUCUUGGGAAACCCAAACAGACUAGGAUAGGCAUUCAAUUAGCAAAUAAAACUAUAAGGUUUCCUAGGGUAUUAUUGAAGAUGUGCUAGUUAAAAUUGAUAAAUUUAUAUUUCCUAUUGACAUCGUUGUUCUAGACAUAGAGGAGGAUAGCAACACUCCUUUGAUUUUAGGAAGGCCCUUUUUAGCAACUAUUAGAAUGAUUAUUGAUGUUGGCAUAGGUGAGCUCACACUUCGUGUCGGAGAUGAAACAAUCACCCUUCAAGCUCACAAUUCUGGCAACACAUCGAAAAUUGAAGGUGAUUGUCUAAACCAUUCUACUAAAAUUGACAAUAUGGUACAACCUACUUUGCAGGAAAUGAGCUUGAAGGAAGUACAUGAACCAUCUUCUAGCAAUAGUAGAGGACCCAUUCAUGAAGAACGAAGGCUACAAAUCGAGGAGCUGGAUGAAUGCAGACACAUAAAUCGAGAACACACGAUAAACCAAAACUACACCAGAACAAGCUCAAUACCUUUCCAAAUCAACUUAAAGCUGGAGAUAAAGUUUUAUUAGAUGUCACAGAUCCUCACAUUGUCACUGCCAAACCGAAUGAAGAAAUUCCUCUUACGGUACUUAGCAUUUUUCCAUUCGGUACAGUCAAGGUAAGUCAUCCUAAGUUCGGCACUUUUAAGGUAAAUAAUACCCGCCUAAAACCUUAUUUUGAUGAGAUUCACAGUAGGAAUGAAGAGUACAAACUCCUCGAACCACCAUGACCAUUAAAUGGAGAGGUAAGUCAAGCUUAGACAAUAAAUAAGUGCUUCUCAGGAGGCAACUCGAGCACUAACUGUAUUAACUUCUUUAAAUUUUAGUGUUUAACACCUAAUUUACUAACAGAGCUCUUGAAUACAGGUUUCCCACACAGACACGGCCUAGCACACGGGCGUGCCUUAGGCUGUGUGGAAAUAGGGCAAAGAUUUUCCCCAGCACGGGCUACAAUAAAUCACCAUGGCUGUGCGACAUGGCCAUUGGUGAACCUGCCAAAACAACACAGGCAUGCGACACGCCCGUGCCUUGAAACCGUGGCCAAACCUGUCAAAUUAACAUGGGCGUGUGACACGUCCGUGCCAAGCAACCGUGGUCGAACCUGUUAGAUUAACACAGGCGUGGGACUACAUACACGGGCAUGGGAGAAGAGAACAAAGACAGACACAGCCGUGUGCACCCACAAGCCCAAGGACUACGGGUGUGGGCCAAUUGUCAGACGUGCUCAAAUUUAAAAUUUGAGAAUCACACGGGCAAAAAUUAGGGAACACGGGCGUGUUCCCUGGCCGUGUGUCCCAAAAUCUAUAAAUACCCUACACUAUUCAUUGUCUUCUUCACUCAAAAUCCCUAACCCUAGCCACUACAGAUCCACACGGCCUCCCUACCACGCUCGUGCACCACUUCCCACUCCAUUUUUUGAUACCCAAUCUCUCUCCCUUAGUGUUUGUUUACUCUUUUCACUUCUAUUUUACUUAUUUCUAAUGCUUAUUAUCAAAAUAAUCUUCAUUCUUCUCAUACUAUUUUCAUUUUGCUCAUUAUUCUAUCAUUUAAUUUGCGUUAUUAGGUUAUUUAACAUACAUUUAAAUCGAGUUGUUAGGAAAGCCUCAUUCUAUUAUCAUACCCAUGCCAUUACUAUGUUCAUUCCCAUGCUACUACCAUGCUAAUGUCACGAAAUUAUGCUAUCAAACUGAUUAUUCUGGUUGAGUUUGGUUAGUAUUAAUAGUUUUGGCUAAAAUUGUUAGUUCAAAUUCAUGGCUUUUCCCUUUUCAAAUUCGUUUACCUACUAUUAUUCUUUUUUAUAUUGCAGGUAUACAAUGUCGUCUUCACGUGGUAAAAAAACGGUCGUCCCUGCUUCAAAGAAAAGGAAGGGAGCGUCAUCUUCCUCGGGUCUUGCCGGGAAAAUUCGUCACCCUUUCCUGCAAUACCCUAUUGGGCCCCAAGAAGAACUUUUCCAAAUACUCUAGGCCCGACCUUUAAUUGCAUGCCGCUGCAUCGACUGGGCUGCACUAGAACAAGUUCAGUUGGCUGAUGUGAUUCGGGUCCUCCUGACCACCGACCCUUGGGAGCUUUUCUUUGGGAUCAUCGAGCCAACAUAUCUCGAGCUCACGAUGGAACUAUGCUCAACGUUUCAUCUUUAGACCGUAAUGACAAACUACGAUGAUCCCAGCACGGUCCAAUUUCACCUAGGCGGAUUAGUCCGCCAGCUAACCAUCCCGGAAUUUGGUACUGCACUGGGCUUAUAUACGAAGGAGUUCAAGGAGGAGAAUGACUAACAUGCUUUCAACCGUCACAUCAAUCGGUCUCCUUCACAGUGCUGGGAUGCACUAGUACCACGUUCGGCCACCUAAGACCCCAGUCGCUCCAAGGCAUCAGCUCUCCCUCCAUCAUUGAGGUAUUUACAUUCUAUUUUAUCUCACACCUUGACAGGGCGGAGAGAGAGCACCGGCGUCGUCACCAGUCACGACGUCUACUACUUAUGGUGUAUGUCGCAUGGGCAUGUCUUGGACCUUGCCUACUUUAUCUCCCUCGCCAUUCUCCACCAGACGGAGUGACAUUGGAAGGGGGUCAUCUCCAUUGGCCCUUAUAUGACUCGACUGGCGUGUCACUUCGGGCUCCUCGACACCGUGGCACAAGAAUCAUCCUUGACCCUCAUUGGCUAGAUGUCUCCAUAAGGCACCUCGAGCAUGCUAAGCAUGAGGAUGAUCAAAAAGCGCCAAGGAACCUACCCUCCUUAAUACCGUCUCACCCAAUCUACCGAGGAGGAGGCCCCCGAAGACAUUACUGAUGAUGUCCCUCCACAGUACGAGGACCCAGCGUCUCAGCCACCACACUCCCAUCGUCCAGUUCAUGCGACGACUUCAUAUGUUGACAUCUUUGAGCGCUUCACUCAAUUCGAGCAGCAGUGUUUUCAACGAUUUGAUAACAUUGAUGCUACUCUACAGCAGAUUUGUCAGCACUUCCACAUCUCAUCGCCACCACCACUUCUCGAACCAUCUGCCGAUGAUGAUGAUUAAUUUUUUUAAUUUUAAUUUUAAUUUUAUUUUCAUUUUCAUUUUAUGUUUUUAUUAAUUUCACCUUUAACUUCUAAAUGUUAUUUCCUUUUUGUUACUAUUUUAGGUUUUAUAAACAAAUCUCAGUUAAUUCUUUAUGAGUAAUUAUUCUUCCUAAUAUCCUCUAAAAAGUUCCUGAUUUUAUCACAGUUAUAAAGAGCUACAAAGCUUACCAUUACUUAGGAACUUGAAACUCCACUGGGAAAGGUUCUCCACGACUGCCAUGUCCUGCUCGACCAUGACCAUAGCUACCACCAGAUAUAAUAUUCUUUUGGCGCAGGACUUAUGGACUAAUGAACCUCUACCACCGCCGGAGUAUCCUCCUCCACCCUCACGCUGAUUAUUCUCCAAAACUCCAGUUCAAGGAAAUUCAUUCAUCACUCAGGAAGUUUCACUUCUCUCCCUAUCUUAUAUUUAUAUCCUUUUUUAUAUAUCUAUCUUUGCACAUUGAGGGCAAUGUACAUCUUAAGUGUGGGGGGUAUUCAUUUCACAAUCAGAAAAAUCCCUAAAUUUUGUCUUAUUCUUAUGCGAUCUGUUCAUAUCAUUAUUAGAAUGAAUUCCGAUUAGUUUCUAAUGUUUAUUGAUAUAUCUUGAAUUAAAACAUAGACAUUUAUGCAUUGAUGGUUUAAAAUGUAAGACAUUAGGGAAUCAAGUAUGAUAAGUUGAUUUUUUAAGAUUAAAAACUUUUACCUUGUUCCCCCAAGUUUAAGUAUUAUCUUGAGUUGGAAUUCACAAGUUUAAACAUCAAAAAGCCAUAAUUUUUUUGGGAUCUUAAGCCUGUAGAGCAUCUAUUAUUUCUUUCAUGCUCACUUUCAUUAUGAGAGCAUCAGUAUUGAAUUGUUAUUCUAGAACUUGCUUGAUUAUGUAUGUCAAAACCACACCAUUUGAUUUGAUAUGUCAAGAUGAUAAAGGCACUUAGGAUUAACCCACUCAUGCCAUGAAAAGCCUACCUUCACAAUUAACCCUUAGUGAACCCCCUUGAGCCUAACAACCAGUCAUUGAUUUACCCUUAAUAUUAACCCAAAACUCAUUAUUGUUGAAAUCCCCUAAAUUAAUUUGAUCCCUAUUUUUGUUGAGAUUUGAAUUGAAAUAGUUGUUCAGCUAUGUCUUGUUCUUAAUAGUUACUUUAUGUUAUUUGACUUGUUGUUCUUAAAAAAAAGUGUAUACAUAUUAGUAGUAAUCUUUUGUUUUUGAGCUAAGUAUUUAAAUUCUAUAUUCUAAGAAGAAGCCCUGUUGUAGGCAAGUGAUGAUUAAAUCUUUUACUAGUUAAGUAAAUUUUCAAUUCAAUCUCGAUUCUAACCUUUUCUUUCAGCUUGUGACGACAACCCCUAACCAAGCCUCGUUAUAACCCUCUAAAGACCUUUUGAUUGAUGUAUCGUCUCAAUUUAUAGUGGUGGAGAUUUGAUUUUCAUGCAAGCCUAUGGUAAUAACUUUUCAUAUUGACUGAUGAGUGCUAAUUUCAUUGUCCUUAAACACUUUGAGUGAUUUGAGUGAAUCUUUAGUGAGGAUGUUAAACUCCAUGAGAUUUUAAAUCGAGGGUAACCACCUAGAUAAGGGGAGAUACCUAUGUUUUCAUGAAAAAAUGGUUAACUUGGAAUGUUUGAAACUUUCAUGUUCUUUCAAUUGAAUUCUUAAUGUAUGAUUACUUAUGGAUUAUUUUGAGAUAUUAUCGAUAGAAAUUAUAAGUUGAGAAGAAUUUAGUUUGGUUAUGAGUUGAGGAUUUUGCUUGAGGACAAGCAAAUGCUUAAGUGUGGGGGUAUUUGAUAAACCGUAAUUUAUACAUAUUUUUAUCUCAUGCUUAGCAUAUUUUAUGGAUGAUUUUUCCUUAGAUUUGGUGAAUUUGAUGCUCCUAAUGCCUUAAUUUCAUGUUUUAUACUUAGGAGAGCAUAGGAGAGUGAAAGGAACGAGAAACGGGCCAAAAACGGAGAAAAUGGACUAACGUACGAAAUCAUCACGGCCUGGACUUCCUCACACGGGUAGACCACAUGGCCGUGUCUAUUUGGCAGAAUCGAAGCACGACUCACACGGGUGGACCACAAGCCCGUGCCUUUUUAACAGGCUUGACCACGGCCUGAAGUAAUCGCACAUGGGUGUGUCACACAGGCGUGUCCUUGUCGAGCCCAAGUUGAGUCCAAUUUUGAGGGUUCUUAGGCAUUCCAAAGCCUAUAAAUACACCCUAAAGGAGGAGGAAAAGGGGACACACAGAGAAGGAGGCAGGGAACUGCUCAAGGAAAGCCGAUUGAUCCAUCUCAGAGGUCGUAUUCAUCAUCAAGACUGAAGAUCUCUCCUCAAUUUCCCUUCAGGAGUUUUGGGUUUUUCUUUAUGUUUUAUAUUCAUUAUUCUUCUGAGAUGUUUAUUUUUUUAGUUAUGAACUAAAACCCCUAAAUACCUAAAGGGAAUGAAACCUAAGACAGACCUUGUUAUUAUUAUCUAAAUUGUAUGAUAAAUAUUUGGCUUGUUCUUAAUUAUGUGUUCUUAAUUCUUGUCUUGAUAUUCUAGGAUAUUAAUUCAAGUUAAGCUCUUAUUCAAAGGAGGAAUAGACCCUGUCUAAGAGUACAUUUGUCAUAAUUAAGCGGAGUUGGUUGCGCGCCUAGAGAUAGGGUGACAAGAUUUUGUCAGAUUAGGGUGAAACCUAAUAAGAGGAUCCAUAGAUCGAGUUAAUACAACCCUAGGAAGUUAAUUAGAAAGAGAUUUCAAUUAUUAAACCUAGUGUUAGACGUUGUUAGUCUCGAGAGAGAUGAUAAUAUAACUUAGGGAUUUCUACGGAUCAAGUCAAAUGAAUAAAUCGUCUGAUUCAGCGUCAAAUAACAAGUGAAGUCUAGGUGGAUUUUUCCUUAGGUAUUGUCUUGAUUCAAUCGUUUUUCCAAAAAGUAAUUCCCCAAUUCUAUUUUCUAUGAUUUCUUAGUUUAGUUAAUUAGUUAGUUAAAACAAUCCCCAUUAUUCUUAGGCUAGAUUAUAAAAAGACAGUCAUUACUAGUACUUUUAGUUCCUUUGGGUUCGACAAUCCAGUCUUACUAAAACUAUACUAUUGUUUGAUAGGUACACUUGCCUUCAUCGUGAUAAUAGCUAGUUUCAAGAAUGAUUCAUUAUAAAUAUUUAAAAACUUGUCACGAAUAUCACAUAUCACAUUCCUUGGCCAAUUUAACCUAUACAUGCCAUUAUAACCACAUUUGUUUUACCUCACAUAUCAAAUUGAGUCGAUGGAUAGUGUGAGUGAUCUCCGUCGAGCUUCCAAUCCAACGAGCUUUCGAUUUACUAUAGUAGAGGGAAAAAUAAAAUAGAGUAAGCAUAUAGUAAGCAUAUAAAGCUUAGUAAGUUCGUAUAACUUGGUAAUUAACUUACCAACUAUUCAUAUUAAAGAUAAACAUAUAAAUCACAAUCAACCAUUCGGUCCCAAGCCCUAACAUAUAUUUUCAUCACCCUUGUUAGUAAUUUACUUCAUAAAAACAUCAAGAAACACAUAUAUGAGCUCAACAAUAUUAGGAUUCUCAUACACAUAUGUUUUCCAUAUUAUGUAGUCAUAGAACAUAUUUACAAAUUAUUUCUAUAUUUUUCAAGUACAUUCUAUAAUAAUUCAUCUCGAGUUUUAGUGUAUUUCAUGUCAGAACUUUGCUCAUUAUUCAACCGAAAUAUUAAUAGUCACACAGAUAAUACACUCGAAAUGUACAAAUCUAUUCUCAUAGAUGAAUGUAUUCAUCAAACAAAUUUCCAUGUUCGUAUAUCAUAAUUUCAUACUUCCAUAUUUCAUAUAACAUCAUUUUCAUAUACUUCAAGCAAAUACAUGUAAAAACUCGUUUCUUUCAUGUCAGGAUUUUACCCGUUGAAUUAUUGAAAAUAUCAAUGGAUACUCAGUUGUACAAAUAAAGUAUACAAAUCAGUAAAUCCAUCAAUUCAUAUUCAGGAGUACCCAUUAGGGCACUUAAUCAAGAAACACAUUCUCGAGCCACAUAUUAUAUAACAGGAUUACCAGUCUAGGCUAAAUCCUAUCUCCAACAUAUGCUCACAAGAGCUUAAUUAGAAUUACCAGUCCAGGCUAAAUCCUAAUUGUAAUGUAACAACCAAUUUUUCAAUGAAAUCAGAACAGUGGUUUCGGGACCAUAAAUCUGAUCCGAAAAUAAAAAAAAAUAUUUUAUUUUAUUAUAUGGUCCGUGUUAUGUUAGAAGUGUCAUGUGAAAAUUCUGAUAAGAAAAUUUUAUUGAUUAUGUGCUUAAUUACGAGAAGGACUAAAUAUAAAAUAUAAAAGUUGAAUUAUAGUAGCUAUAAGGAUUAAAUAGCUAUGGAAUUCAAAAAAUUAGAGGUCCUUGUAUGGUAAUUAAACCAUUAAAGAAAAGUAUGUAGAUAUUUUGGUGACUCAUCCAUGUAAAUUUAGAAAAAGGGUAAGAACUAAAUUGGAAUUUGAAAUAAUUUAGUUAAUUAAAAAGAUGAUAAAAGAUAUCAUCUUCAUUUUUAUGUCAUCUUCAACCUAAAAUACAUGGAAACCCUAGGAGAGCGAGAAGAAACUUUCAUGGCUUAAUUGGGUAAGUUUCCUUGUCCCAUUUUUAGUAAUUUUGAUAUUUUUGAAAUCGAGAUAGCUUAAUCUAUCUAUUUGGGGGAUCAAUUUGAAAAGUUAUCAAGGUAUGGAAAUUGGGUCAUGGAUGAAUAUGCCGAAAUUUUAAAAUUUAUGGUAGAAAAAUGAAAGGUUUUUGAUAGGUGAAUAACUUUUACAAAGUAAUUUUUGAUGAAAACAUGAUUUAGGGAUUAAAAUGUAAAGUUGUGAAAAUUGAUGAAAUAUUAUGAAAAUUAUAGAAGAUAUUUGCUAUAAAUUCUAUAUUAAAAUUUUGGUUAGGCUUGGAUUAGAGAGUAAAUUGAAUAAAUUUUAUUUUCCGAGCCUAGGGACGAAAUUGGAAUUUAUGGAAAAGUUAGGGGCAAAAUGGUAAUUUUGCCCAAGACGUAAAUUGAGUCCAAAUAAAUAUGAAAUGUGGGAAAUUGAUGAUUAAAGUUAUUUAUAUAGAUCCAGACAACACAAAUUUGAGGUAACAUAGAGGAAAAGAAAAGGUUUCGGAUUAGUAGAUUUUAUACGCAAACCAGUGUCGAGGUAAGUUCGUGUAACUUAAUCGAACAUGUAAAUAUGAUUAAAUUGAAUAAUGUUGUGUUUGUAUGUAAUAUGACUUAUAUGGAUGUGAGUUAUUUGAUUGCUAUAAUGAAAAAUUGAAUACGUGCUUGUAAUGGUGAAAAAGGGGUAAGCUCCAUCUGAAUAUUGAAUUCGAUGAAUAUAUGUUCUUCCCGAAAUGAAUGAGGUCCUGUAUUUGUUGCAAAUGGAAUUUAGCUUGGACGAGUAAUCAUAUUGACCUCAUUAUGGAAAGGAUUUAGCCCGGACGGGUAAUCAUGAUAUAAUACCUCUCGAGUAUAUGUUACAUUAGGGUUUAGCCUAGACUGGUAAUCCUAAUUGAGCUCUUCUGAGCAUACAUUACGAAAAUGAUUUAGCCUGGACUGGUAAUCCUGUAAUGCGUUAUGUGGCUCGAAAGUGUGUUCUUUGAUUAAAUGCCCUAUUGGGUACUCUUGAGUAAGAAUUGACGGGUUAUUGAAUCAUACACCUUGAGUAUACUACUUUAGUAUCCAUCGGAAUUUCAAUGAUUCAACGGACAAAACUCUUGGCAUGAUGAGAGAAUUAUGAGACGAAAUGAUACUGUCUUGAAAGAAUAUUGCAUGAUAAGCUCAUCUAUGUUUACUUGAUUGAUGUGAAGAUUUUGUGACUAACAUGUUUGAUUGAAUGCAUGUGUUUAGGCAAUUUUUCCAAAUGGACGAAAACCAUGAUAUUGUAUGCUUAGAUUUAAUAAAAGGAAUUGGUAAGUUUAGUUUUCGUUAUAUGAACUUACUAAGCAUGUAAUGCUUACUCCGUCUUAUUUUCCCCUGUUUUAUAAUGCUCGAAAGCUCUCGAAGGUUGAAGGUCAUUGAAGCGUCAUUACACUAUCCACUAGCUUAUUUUUGGGUAUAUGUAGUAAAAUCAUUUUGGUUUAAUGGCAUGUAUAGGCUAACUUGGCCAUUAGAAUGACUAGUAAUGGUUGUUUUUGAUAUACUUGUAAUGUCAUACUAUGGUAGCUAUAUACAUGUUAAAGGAUUGUUCAAGUUGUGCCUAUCAUAUGAAAUAAACCAAGGUAAGAUUAUAAACAUAUAUGCAUGUAAUGAUAGGUCUUAUUGAAUAAUGGAAUUUGCUUAAUUUUAAUGCUUGAAUUGGUUAGUAUUGGAUGUGAGUUUUAAGUCCAGGUCAUUGGUGAAAUUUUGGAUGAAAAAUGAAGCUAGAAAUGGCUUUAUUUUGUCAACAUGGGCGGCGUGUGUCUAGACCGUGUGUGACACACGGCCUAGUACAUGGGCAUGUGGUUAGGCCAUGUGUGCCUUGCACCUUAAGUUUGAAAAAAUAGAAUGCUCAGAAUUGAGCACAUGGACAGAGACACAGGUGUGUGUCUCAGCCGUGUGUGCUACACGGCCUAGAACACGGGCGUGUGUCUUGGUCGUGUGAAACCUGCACCUAAUUUUGAAAGAAUUUAACUAACCACAUGGCCUAGCACACGGGGCGUGUGGCAUGGCCUUGAGCACAAGUCGGAGAGUUACAUGGGGUCCAACAUGACUUGCAACACGAGCAUGUCCCAAGGUCACACGGGCGUGUCCCUUGGACCACACGGGUGUGUGAGCCCUGCACCUUGGAAAUUUUUUUGAAAUAUCACGAAAAAUUCUUAGAGCUUUCGAUUAAGUCCCGACUUGGUUCUAAUGCUCGUAUUAGGCCUCGAGGGUCUAUUUAAGGGACGAUAUGAAUAAUCUUGGUUAAUGAAUAGUAAUUUCUAUAAGUUUUCUAAAAAUGUUCUGAAAGUUUCGAUAAUGCUCUGUAACCCUGUUCCAGUGAGGGAUAUGGGUUAAGGGUGUUACAUGUAACAUAUGCUCGAGAGCGAUUAUAUCAGGAUUACCCGUCCAGGCUAAAUCUUAUCUAUAAUGAGGUUAAUAGGAUUACUCGUCUGAGCUAAAUCCCGUCAGCAACAAAUGUAGGACCUCAUUCAUUUUGGGAAAUCACACAUCCAUAGAUUUUUCAUUUAUUAAAAUAGAAUCUGACAUUUAUUAGGCAAUUGUCAAGUAUGUGAUCAAUCUCAUAUAUUAAUGCAUUUAUGCAAUUCAAAUAUUCACGUUCACAUCUAACAUUUUUAUCAUUUAUCACUUAUUGGGUAUUAUUAUUUAUUUCAGGCACUUUCAUUUAUCGGGCUUUAACAAAUAUGUGAUAAUUUCACAUAUUUAUGACAUUUAUACAAUUUCAAGCAUAUAAACAUAUACAAUUUAGUUAUACGAACUUACCUCAAUAUGUGUUCGUGUACAUAAAGUCUACUAAUCUAACAUUUUCUCAUUUCCUCAUUCUAACUCCAUAUUCAGAUUAUCCAGAUCUAUACGAGUAAAUUUAACAUCAAUUUAAAGUAAUUCAUACUCAAUUUAGUCCAAUUUACACUUUAAGAAAAAUUACCAUUUUGCCCCUAAACUUUUAAUAAAUGACGAUUUCAUCCCUAGACUUGGAAAAUAAAGUUCAUGCAAUUUAAUCCUUGUUCCGAGCCUAACCAAAUUUUUCAUGUAAUAUUUACAGCCCAUGUAUUUCAUAAAAAUCAGAAUUUUUCUAUGGAUUUCUCAUUUUUACAAUUUAGUCCAUAAAUCAAGUUUUCAUCAAAAUUCACUUUGUAAAAGUUGUUUAUCUAUCAACAACCUUUCAUUUUCUACCAUAAAUUUCAUAAUUUCAGCAUAUUCAUCCAUGGUAAAAAUUCUAUAAUUUGAUAUCUUUUCAAAUUGAUCCCCAAAAUAAAUAGAUUAAGUUACACCGGUCUCAAAAAUAUAAAAAUUACUAAAAAUGGAGCUUGAAUACUUACCUAAUUUGACCAAGAAAGCUUGCUUUCUCUUUCCUAGAGUUUCCAUGCAAAAUAUUUGGGGAAGAUGAUGAUAAAUGAUGAUAUUUUCAUCUUUUAUUAUUUAUCACCUUUAUUUUUUUAUUCUUCCAAUUUUGUCCUUUUCUUUAAUUUUAUUUUCCAUGGAUGAAUCAUCAUCCUUAACGACUAAGAAUUUUUAUUGGUUUGAUUACCAUAUAAGGACCUCCAAUUUAUAUUUCUAUAGCUAUUUAAUCCAUUUAGCUAUUAGAACUCAACUUUUGCACCUUAUGUAAUUUGGUCCUUUAUCGAUUUAAGCAUGUAAUCAUAAACUUUAUUCACGAAAUUUUCACACAAUAUUAUUAUCAUAUUAUAGAACAUGAAAAAUAUUAAAAUAAAAUUUUCUUUUCGAAAUCGAAUUUGUGGUCUCGAAACCACUAUUCCAAUUUCUCGAAAAAUGGGCUGUUACAUAACGUUUAUGGGUUUUUGGGUUUGAGCCCGUAACCCUUUCUCUUUUCUUUUUUUUUUUGAUUGAAACCCUCAACAUUACGAUUUUAUUAGAAAUCAUCCUAAUUUUAGUAGGAAACAUGAGUUGACCAUUAAUCAAAUGAUAGGUCAACAAAAUAGUCUAUGUGGCAUGCCACAUAACACGAUAUUAUAGAUAACAUUAUAUAUAAAAAAUUGUUUAACAAAUUUUUUUCAUUUUUUCCAUAUUUCUUCUUGCAACAGCCUAUUUUUAGUAAAAAUUGAAACAGUGGUUUUGAGACCACAAAUUUGAAAUUAAAAUAUUUAUUUUAUUAUUAUUUUAAUGUUUAGAGUAUGUUAGCAAGGUCAUAUAAAAAUUUCGUUAGGAAAUUUUGACGUCUACAUGCUUAAUUUAGUGAAAAGGACUAACUUGAAAAAGGUGCAAAAUAAGUAAAACAAAACAAAUUUCCUUCUCCAUCUUCUAGCCAAAUCUUAAAGGACAAAAAUCACCAUUUUUGAACAACCAAGCAUUCAGCCAAGCUCUUCCAUUGCAUGUGAGUAUAAUUUUGUCCAUUUUUUUAAUGAUUUCUAUGUUUUUGAAGUCGUUGUAGCUUAAUCUAGCUAGCCCAGGGACUAAUUUGUGAAACUGUUAAAGUAUUAGGGUUUUAUCGUUAAUGAGUGUGUAUGUGUUUUGAUGUUUGAUGGUAGAAAAUAAAUGGUUGUUGUUAGAUAAACAAGUUUUGUAAAGUGAUUUUGGUUGAAAAUGUCAAAUAGGGAUUAAAUUGAGAAAUGUGAAAAUUAUGUGGUAAAUGUGUGAAAUAAUGAAAUGUAUGGGCUGCUAUGGGUCUAUAUAGAAUUUGGCUAGCAUGGUUGUAUGUUAAAUUGCAUGAAUUUGCAUUUUUAUGAGCUAAGAACUAAAUUGUAAAGUAGUUAAAUGUUUAGGGGCAAAAUGGUAAUUUUUUCAUAAUAUGAAAUUGGGUUGAAUUGAAUUGAAUAAAUAUUAAAGUGGUUAAGACGUUCGAAAUUAAAUCGGGGGUAGAUUUUCUCCAUACUAAUUCGAGGUAAGUUCAUAUGUUUAAUAAGAAUUAAAUUAUAUAUGUUUGAAUGAUUAAUUGAUAUAAUUGUGAUGAUACGACACUGUGAAAAUUAUCGAUAAGUUAUCGACAAUGUAUGAAUCUCGGUUGAACCUUAGGAAUAGAUGGGAUACAAAUGACAUGUCAUUAGGGGUUACCAUGUUUUGGAUGCUUGUCCUGUAUGUUCUACUAGUGGCUGAGUUUAUUGGCAUGUGUUGCGUUUACUCAUCAGCUUGUGUGAGUAGCACCGUGUAGCUACGUCUUGACCGUCAGCUUGUGUGAGCAAACCUAGUGAUAGCUCGAGAGUGAGCAUUUAUUUGAGAUAUGAGAUAGAGAUGGUUUUGACCAUGUAUUGGCACUUAGUGUGUGAGAUUCCCAAGUAUCUGAUAGUAUUCCAAAUGGUUCAACAAUCAAAGAUGAUGGCACAAGGAUAUAAGAUAUGAUAUGAACCAGUUCAAGUAUUUGUGAGAAAUUUGUCAAGUAAUUCAUAGUUGAUGUACUCAUACAUGACUAACAUGGUUAUGAUUAUGUGCUAACCUUUGGAUUUGAUUAUAACUUACCUAUGUUUAUUUAUACUUCUUUAUAUUGUGAAUGAAUGGUAAGUUGUAGUUAUGACCAUACGAGCUUACUAAGUUUAAUUGUUUACUUUGUUUAUUUUUUUGUGUCUUAUAGUGAUUUCGAAGCUUGCUCAGCUUGGAAGUUAUUGGAGAUCUCAUCACGUUAUCCAACAGUUGUUUUGGUACUUUUGGACUUAAUGUAUUUUGGUAAUAUGGCAUGUAUAGGUCAUUUGGCUAAUGAAAGCCUAUAUGUUUCGGUUAUGUAAUUAGUCAUUUAAAAUGGCUUGAUUUAGUAUGUGUGGUAUGUAUACAUGUGUGUUUAGCCAUGCGACUUGGCUUAUAUUGAUAUAUUUGAUUAUAUAAAUAUGUAUAAAUGAUCUUUUGGUAUGUCGUAAAGUGAUCUUUGAUAUGUUUUUAUGCAUAUCAUAUUGUUGUAUGGAUAGUAUAUGAUAUAGGCUUGAUAUUGGUUGGUUUUAAGUGCCCAUUUAGGCCUUGGUUGUAUGUGCAUUGUUGAAUUGACAUCACUUUGGGUGAAGAAUGUGGCUUGGAACAUAGUCUAUUUUUGUCCAAACGGACAAAGACACGGGCAUGUGUCUCAGCCGUGUGUGACACACGGCUAGGUGACACAGCUAUGUGUCCCUUGAUAUUUAUUUAGAAACCAAGUCAGUAGCUUCACACGGCCUAGCACACAGGCGUGUGGCUUGGCCAUGUGGCACAAGUUAGUAUACUCUCCAAUUUUCAUAGGGCCAAACACACGGCUUGGCAUACGGGUGUGUAAGGUCAUUUUGAAGGGUACACGGGUGCAACCCAAGUCAGUGAGUUACACGGGGUCGGACAUGGGCUGGGACACGACCAUGUGAUCUCAUUUCGAAUGUCCACACGGCCUGUGACACAUCAUAGAAUAUUCAAGAAAACAACUCAAAAAACACUAUUGAAGCAGAUUCUAAAACAUAUUUCUAUUAAGAUUGAAGAUUCCUAGUUGAUUUCUCAAGAGAUUAUAAUGAGUUUAUUUAUUUCUUUCGGUUAUACUGUCUUUGGGAUAUUUUUAUUUGCAAGCAUGAACUAAUUUUCUAAAUAUCUAGGGGAGAUGUACCCUAUAUGGAUUCUAUCAUUUGAUUUCUAUUUUAUGCAAUAAAUACUUAGAUCUUGUUCUCAAUUAUGUGUGCUUAAUUCUUUGUUUGAUAUUUCUAGACUAUUGAUCCAUGUUUGAUGUGCUUAAAUAAGAGGAUGAAUAGACCUUGUUUAAAAGUAGAUCUAGAAUUGAGUGGAGUUGCAUGCAAUCCUAGAAAUAGGAUGACCUAAAUCUACCGGAUUAGAGUCAAAUCUAAUAAAGGAAUCCAUAGAUCGAGUUAAUGUGGUAAUAGGUAUUUUAAUUAGAAAGAAGUUUCAAUUAAUCAACCUAGAGUCAGUUGCUAUUAUUCUUGAAGAGAGAUAUUAACAUAAUUUAGGGGUUUCUAUGGAUCAACAUACUAAGUUAAAAAAUUGUGUAAUUUAUAUUGAUAAUGACAGAUGAAAUUUAGGUGAAUUCUUUCCUAGGUAUUGUUUCGUUUCUUGGUUAUUAUUUGAUUAUUUUCUUGAUUUGUUCUCUGUCAUGUUCAUAGUUAAUUAAUUUAGCUAAUUUUAGUUCUUAAUUAAUCACUCAAAUUUAUCAGUUAAAUAAUAGAAAGGCAAUAAUUAUUAAAACUUUUAGUCUUCAUGGGAAUGAUAUUUGUGCUCACCAUAGCUAUACUAUUGAUUGAUAGGUGCACUUGCCUCAGUCGAAUUUUUAGUUGGUUUCGUGGAAAUUAAUUGUCUAGUUAUUUUGACAGUCAUGCAAGUUUUUAAUAGUAUAAUUGAAUGAAAUUUGUAACAAAAAGGACAAGUUUGCUCUUUGAUCUAACAUAUAAGAUUAAUUUGCCUUUUUUUUAGAAAAGGGAACAAAAUGCAAUGCAACUCCUAAUAUAAGAGCUUUUAUGGCACUCCUACUGUAGACAUAACAUUCCAUGUGUUUCAACAAAAUUUAUGUUAAGCAUAAAUCUAAAAACUAUGCAUCAACUUUUAUUUAAUGUGCAAUUUGAUACAUUAAUAAUAUACAUAUGAUUCUAAUUGUUAUUCAAAUAUAUAUAUAAAAUUUUUAUUUUGAUUCAUUUGUGUAUAUUUUAAAAAAUAAAUACAUUAAUUUAUUUUUAUAUUGAAUAUAUAUAAUUAUUUGUGUAUACAACAUAUAAACUUGAAAUGAUGUUAUAUCAAUAAUUAUGUUAACCGUUUAUGAAAAUUGAAUCAAAUCAAAAUUUACCUAUAAAAUGUUAUCUUUUGUAUUUUUUUUAAUUUUAAAAUUUUUACAUUUAAAAAUAAUAAUAGUAAAUUUUUUUGGUAGAAUAAAAAAAAUUAAUAACUACAACAAACUUUUGACUUUGCCCUACUAGUUUAUCCCUAUUGCAAAAACGUAUGGGGAAUGUCUGAAAGGUUUCUUUGAAUUGUCUUCUCCAUAGUUUGUCCACUGCUACUUUGAUUUAACCGUUCAGGUUUAUAUCAAAACUGGAAUGUAAAAUAUUGCAAGUGCUGGGAUUUGAACUCAGUAUUUCUAUACAGUACUUGAACCGUGAGCAAUGGUCGCUUACCAUAGAUAACUAUGUCCCCAUCAAAUGUCAAUAUAUAACAAUCAAUGAGAAUAUUCUUGGUCGACCAUUCAAUUAAUUUUUUUUUUCUUUUUACGUACUUAUAGACCCAUUCAACGGUUGUGAAGAUAUCUACAUGACAAACGUCAUAUAUAUGGGGCUUGAACUGGUAAAUUUUUUACCUAAGUUUCUUUCAUCUGCAACUAUUUAAUCUCAGCUCUGCAGCUUUUAUAAUGACCCUUUAAAACACAACAACAACAAUGGAAAGCAAGCUUUAUGAAGCAGCAGCAGAAGGGAAUGUAACUAUUUUCUUAGAAUUAAUUCGACAGGAUCACUUUCUUCUUGAUAGAGUGCUGGUUAAUUAUGUCAUCGAAACUCCUUUACAUGUUGCAGCAAUGCUUGGACAUACAGAUUUUGUGAGGGAGAUUAUACAAAGGAAGCUAGAGUUCACCAGAGAACUAGAUUUACGGGGUUCAUCACCUCUUCACUUGGCAUCAGCCAAAGGGUAUGUCGACAUAGUUAAAGCAUUGCUAUUUGUAAACCCUGACAUGUGCCUGGCUGUUGAUAUAGAAGAAAGAAACCCUCUUCAUCUUGCAGCCAUGAAAGGCCAGGUUCAUGUUUUGAAUGAGCUAGUCCGUGUUAGACCGCAAGCGGCUCGAGUCAUUAUGUCAUGGGGAGAGACCAUAUUGCAUUUGUGUGUCAAGUAUGGACAAUUUGCGUCUUUCAAGGCAGUGGUUGAAGUAAUGAACAAUCAAGAAUUUGUGAAUGCUAAAGAUGAUUAUGGCAUGACAGUUUUGCACCUAGCUGUUGCUUACAAGCAAAUUGAGGUAUGGAUUAGAUUGCAUCACCAUAAUAUUUCAGCUUUAAGCUUUUUAUUGCUUUUGGUAAUGGUAUUAAUCAUCUGUACCGAUCAAAAUUAUGCAGACAAUAAAAUUUUUGCUUACCAGUACUAGCGUUGAAGUAAAUGGUCUAAAUGCAAAUGGUUUAACUGCAUUGGACGUUCUUGCACGAAGUAGGAGAGGAUUGAAAGACUUUGACAUUGCUGAGUCCCUUCGAGAUGCCGGAGCUCUAAGAGCCGCAGAAAUUUCGCA
This 37277-nucleotide long non-coding RNA is filed under the name Gossypium barbadense (sea-island cotton). RNAcentral's name for it is "long non-coding RNA (GBAR_LNC005169)". Lineage: Eukaryota; Viridiplantae; Streptophyta; Magnoliopsida; Malvales; Malvaceae. The record is from RNAcentral.